GACGUAGGAGGCGAGCGUCGUCCGGAUUCAUUGGGCGUAAAGAGCUCGUAGGCGGUUUGUCGCGUCUGCCGUGAAAGUCCGGGGCUCAACUCCGGAUCUGCGGUGGGUACGGGCAGACUAGAGUGAUGUAGGGGAGACUGGAAUUCCUGGUGUAGCGGUGAAAUGCGCAGAUAUCAGGAGGAACACCGAUGGCGAAGGCAGGUCUCUGGGCAUUAACUGACGCUGAGGAGCGAAAGCAUGGGGAGCGAACAGG
RNAcentral lists this ribosomal RNA (253 nucleotides) under uncultured bacterium. RNAcentral describes it as "partial 16S ribosomal RNA". It matches the Rfam family "Bacterial small subunit ribosomal RNA", at positions 524 to 776 of the family's 1533-position model. The record is from RNAcentral.